UAACAUAUAUAUUUGAUAUUCGUUAUCUAGCUGAUUAGUUUCUGGGUUGUGUAAUAUCCAUCAUAUAUAACCUCUCGGAUAAUAAUUAUCACAUCAUAUCCGCAUCCAUUAAUUUUUCGACGAUUUUUAAUUAUACACGCACCCAUAUUCAUGAAUAACAAUUUAAAAAAAAACUGAAACCCAUACAAAAAAUAAAAUUAAAUGAAAACAAAAGCA
This 216-nucleotide long non-coding RNA is filed under the name Linum usitatissimum (flax). RNAcentral's name for it is "long non-coding RNA (LUSI_LNC005668)". The record is from RNAcentral. Lineage: Eukaryota; Viridiplantae; Streptophyta; Magnoliopsida; Malpighiales; Linaceae.